AGAGCGCCGCGGGCCCGAGAUGAAGCCGGCGGUGGACGAGAUGUUCCCUGAGGGCGCCGGGCCUUACGUGGACCUGGACGAGGCGGGAGGCAGCACCGGGCUCUUGAUGGACUUGGCAGCCAAUGAAAAGGCCGUUCAUGCAGACUUUUUUAAUGAUUUUGAAGAUCUUUUCGAUGAUGAUGACAUCCAGUGAGAUGACCUCUGGCUGCAGGCGGGGCCAGGCCCUUGGUACAGAGUCGCAGUGUGAGCCUGCGCAGGACAGUUUCAGGUGGUUUUAAAGAACACGUGGAAAUCCCUUGAAUUUAGGACCUGGUUAACCAAGAAAGAUAAAAAUGUUCUUCACCACCUAGAUGAGGCUGUUCGUCUCUGAACAUGACCACGUUGUGUCCUCACUCCAAUUAAAAGAAAGCAACGUCACGUGCAGAGUGAUCUCUUCUUGCACUUUUGAGUGAGUGUUGCAGUCCCUAAAAGUCUGUGUGUGUGUCACGCAUGUGUCAGCUGAGAGAACCAUGUUUGUCUGCUAGCAAAUACCGGGGGUUACGGUGCUGUAUGUGCUAGACCAGGAGGCAGUGCGGGCCGAGCACAGCUGGGCCUGCUGACGGCACUGGGAGGACCUUGCCCCGGGGCCGCCCCUCUGCUGCGUGGGCAGGUUCGCACCGUGUGUGUCUGUCAGCACAGCGGGCCCUAUGCUGUCCUCCGGCCGCCACGUCAGGGCCGCUGCCCCACAAACUCGAGGCUUAAGGAUGACGGGAGGCGCCUUCUACGCGAGGAAUGCACGUUGGUCCGUUUCGAAGGAGAGUGUAACACCCGUGUGGGGGAGGGGUUUUGUUUCCUGUAGGCCCAGCUCGGUGAUUGAUAAUGGUUGUAGAACAGUGAAGUUGCUGUUUCAUAUCCAUCUUGCAGUGAAGAGUGUUCCUCAGACCAGGGGAUGCCCAGUCCCAGGACUUCAGCAGUUCCCCUUUUCAGUUAAAGCCCCUCAGUGGACGAGGGACCUGCUGCCCCCGCUACUGAGAACCCGCUGAAGGGUGUCGCCUUGUCAUGUUUACGGAAGAGGCAUUUGUACUGGAGGCCAGGUGAGAUUUUAAGCAGAACUGAAUGUCAGCCCUAACUCAUUUUCUUGUGAGUGGUGAGUAGAUUUCCACCCUGUCAUCCUGAUGGAGCUCCUAUCCUUUGUUGGGGCUCAGCAGCUGGGGACUGCCCGGGACAAGUUAGUUCCGUGGUUCCUGUGCUGCAGCGAGGGCAGCCAGAGCACAGGGCGCGUGGGAAGGCAGGAGAGUGGACUGCGGUGUCAGAACACCCUCAGUUGGAAGCUCUGCACUGGGCUGCACGUUGAGACUGCCGCUUUGUGUCUGAGAUCCACGUGGCUUAUCUGCAGGCCGGGAGCAGGGUUUCCAGCAGCCAGGCUGCAUACCAUCUGCACUUUGAGAGGGCGGAGUUUCUCAGUGCUGUGUUCUUGUGGUUCAUUCAUGAGAGUCGUGUUCACAGUUUCCUAAGUGGAUUCCUCAAAGCAGGCAUAGAA
RNAcentral lists this long non-coding RNA (1519 nucleotides) under Macaca mulatta (Rhesus monkey). RNAcentral's name for it is "lncRNA (ENSMMUG00000056793.1)". The record is from RNAcentral. Lineage: Eukaryota; Metazoa; Chordata; Mammalia; Primates; Cercopithecidae.